Molecule: ribosomal RNA, 501 nt
Filed under: uncultured bacterium
Lineage: Bacteria
Description: partial 16S ribosomal RNA
Rfam family: Bacterial small subunit ribosomal RNA
Source: RNAcentral
AUUGAACGCUGGCGGCAGGCUUAACACAUGCAAGUCGAGCGGGGGAAGGUAGCUUGCUACUGGACCUAGCGGCGGACGGGUGAGUAAUGCUUAGGAAUCUGCCUAUUAGCGGGGGACAACAUCUCGAAAGGGAUGCUAAUACCGCAUACGUCCUACGGGAGAAAGCAGGGGAUCUUCGGACCUUGCGCUCAUAGAUGAGCCUAAGUCGGAUUAGCUAGGUGGUGGGGUAAAGGCCUACCAAGGCGACGAUCUGUGGCGGGUCUGAGAGGAUGAUCCGCCACACGGGGACGGAGACCGGGCCCAGACUCCUAGGGGAUGCAGCAGUGGGGAAUAUUGGACAAGGGGGGAAACCCUGAUCCAGCCAUGCCGCGUGUUUGAAGAAGGCCUUAUGGUUGUAAAGCACUUUAAGCGAGGAGGAGGCUACUCUAGUUAAUACCUAGGGAUAGUGGACGUUACUCGCAGAAUAAGCACCGGCUAACUCUGUGCCAGCCGCCGCCGUAA